Long non-coding RNA from Eriocheir sinensis (Chinese mitten crab), 1057 nucleotides. RefSeq lists it as uncharacterized. The record is from RefSeq and is a predicted model, not a curated record. The transcript has 3 exons. NCBI's taxonomy places the organism in Eukaryota, Metazoa, Arthropoda, Malacostraca, Decapoda, Varunidae.
CUCCAUGUGUAUUUAGAAACAACCUGAACUUAGGCAAAACGAUGACUGAACACAACCUUGCCAGCGUCAUUUGUUUAAAAGAUAGUCUGGGCGACGGCUGUGGUCUGGGGUGCGUUGUUAAAUUUCCUCUGGCUAGGUUAGGUUUGAAUCAGGUGCGCUUUCAUGUAUAUUUAGAAAAAACCCGAACUUAACCUGGUAGCUACGGGGAUCAUGUUUCUUAAAGGCCCCUCUAAGCGAGAAAAAUGAGAAAAAAAUCAUCACUCACGCAAACCAUUUCGUAAUAUAUAUCAACGCAUUUGUGAUCAGUUUAUGAAAUAAGGAAGUGGAAAAGGUGGAAGGAAAUUAGAAAGUGGAAAAGUGGAAGGAAAUUUGAAAGUGGAAGAUGUGGAAGGAAAUAAGAAAGUGGAGAAGAUGAAUGGAAAUUAGAAAGUGGAAAAGAUGGAAGGAAAUUAGAAAGUGGAAAGGUGGAAGGAAAUUAGAAAGUGGAAAAGUGGAAGGAAAUUAGAAAGUGGAAAAGUGGAAGAAAAUUAGAAAGUGGAAAAGUGGAAGGAAAUUAGAAAGUGGAAAAGAUGGAAGGAAAUUAGAAAGUGGAAAAGAUGGAAGGAAAUUAGAAAGUGGAAAAAAUGGAAGGAAAUUAGAAAGUGGAAAAGUGGAAGGAAAUUAGAAAGUGGAAAAAAUGGAAGGAAAUAAGAAAGUGAAAAAGAUGGAAGGAAAUUAGAAAGUGGAAAAGUGGAAGGAAAUUAGAAAGUGGAAAAGUGGAAGGAAAUUAGAAAGUGGAAAAGUGGAAGGAAAUUAGAAAGUGGAAAAAUGGAAGGAAAUUAGAAAGUGGAAAAGUGGAAGGAAAUUAGAAAGUGGAAAAGUGGAAGGAAAUUAAAAAGUGGAAAAGUGGAAGGAAAUUAGAAAGUGGAAAAGAUGGAAGGAAAUUAGAAAGUGGAAAAGUGGAAGGAAAUUAGAAAGUGGAAGAGAUGGAAGGAAAUAAAAAAAUGGACAACGAUAUAAUAAGUGUGCUAACAAACAAACAAAUGAAAAAGUAUAAGUGAAAGAAAAACAACUAGAA